This 496-nucleotide ribosomal RNA is filed under the name Mollisia ventosa. RNAcentral describes it as "eukaryotic LSU rRNA". The stretch from base 172 to 325 matches the Rfam family "5.8S ribosomal RNA". Lineage: Eukaryota; Fungi; Ascomycota; Leotiomycetes; Helotiales; Mollisiaceae. The record is from RNAcentral.
UGAGCCCGGAUGAUCGCUGGCACAGUGCUCUCCCGGGCAUCGCCCAUCCGUGUCUACAUACUCUUGUUGCUUUGGCAGGCCGUGGCCUCCACUGCGGGCUCUGCUCGUGCGUGCCUGCCAGAGGACCAAACUCUGAAUAUUAGUGAUGUCUGAGUACUAUAUAAUAGUUAAAACUUUCAACAACGGAUCUCUUGGUUCUGGCAUCGAUGAAAAACGCAGCGAAAUGCGAUAAGUAAUGUGAAUUGCAGAAUUCAGUGAAUCAUCGAAUCUUUGAACGCACAUUGCGCCCYGUGGUAUUCCGCAGGGCAUGCCUGUUCGAGCGUCAUUAUAGCCAAUCACGCCUGGCGUGGUGUUGGGGCACGCGGUCCCGCGGCCUUUAAAACAAGUGGCGGCGCUGGUCGGCUCUAAGCGUAGUAAAUCUCCUCGCUAUAGGGACCGGUCGGUGGCUCGCCAGAACCCCUCACUUCUUAAGGUGACCUCGGAUCAGGUAGGGWCC